RNAcentral lists this ribosomal RNA (426 nucleotides) under Monascus filiformis. RNAcentral's name for it is "bacterial SSU rRNA". It matches the Rfam family "Eukaryotic small subunit ribosomal RNA", at positions 550 to 900 of the family's 1831-position model. Lineage: Eukaryota; Metazoa; Platyhelminthes; Trematoda; Strigeidida; Fellodistomidae. The record is from RNAcentral.
GGAGGGCAAGUCUGGUGCCAGCAGCCGCGGUAACUCCAGCUUCAGAAGCGUAUAUUAAAGUUGUUGCAGUUAAAAAGCUCGUAGUUGGAUCUGGGUCGCAUGGCUACAUGCCGUUGCUUGUGCUUUGGCUUGGCUGUAGUUGAGUCGAGGCUUGCGUCGGUGUAGUGGUUGUGCAGCCUUUCUGCUGUGUCUGUGUAUACGGGUGCUGACUGGGUGUUUUACAUCUGUUGGCAUGCUUCUGGAUGCCUUUAAUUGGGUGUCGGGAGCGGACAGCCCGUUUACUUUGAACAAAUUUGAGUGCUCAAACCAGGCCAUAGUGCCUGAAAAUUCUUGCAUGGAAUAAUGAAAUAGGACUUCGGUUCUAUUUUGUUGGUUUUCGGAUCCGAAGUAAUGGUUAAGAGGGACAGACGGGGGCAUUUGUAUGGA